ACAGCAGCCGCCGCGGUAAAACGAAGGGGGCUAGCGUUGCUCGGAAUCACUGGGCGUAAAGCGCACGUAGGCGGAUGUUUAAGUCAGAGGUGAAAGCCUGGAGCUCAACUCCAGAACUGCCUUUGAUACUGGGCAUCUUGAGUCCGGAAGAGGUAAGUGGAACUGCGAGUGUAGAGGUGAAAUUCGUAGAUAUUCGGAAGAACACCAGUGGCGAAGGCGGCUCACUGGACGCGUAUUGACGCUGAGGUGCGAAAGCGUGGGGAGCAAACAGGAUUAGAUACCCGCGUAGUCCCUGUCUCUUAUAC
Molecule: ribosomal RNA, 305 nt
Filed under: uncultured bacterium
Lineage: Bacteria
Description: partial 16S ribosomal RNA
Rfam family: Bacterial small subunit ribosomal RNA
Source: RNAcentral